GACGAACGCUGGCGGCGUGCUUAACACAUGCAAGUCGAACGAAGAGCGAUGGAAGCUUGCUUCUACCAAUCUUAGUGGCGAACGGGUGAGUAACGCGUAAUCAACCUGCCCUUCAGAGGGGGACAACAGUUGGAAACGACUGCUAAUACCGCAUACGAUCCAAUCUCGGCAUCGAGGAUGGAUGAAAGGUGGCCUCUAUUUAUAAGCUAUCACUGAAGGAGGGGAUUGCGUCUGAUUAGCUAGUUGGAGGGGUAACGGCCCACCAAGGCAAUGAUCAGUAGCCGGUCUGAGAGGAUGAACGGCCACAUUGGGACUGAGACACGGCCCAGACUCCUACGGGAGGCAGCAGUGGGGAAUCUUCCGCAAUGGACGAAAGUCUGACGGAGCAACGCCGCGUGAGUGAUGACGGCCUUCGGGUUGUAAGGCAUCUGUUAAUCGGGACGAAAGGUCUUCUUGCGAAUAGUUAGAAGAAUGGACGGUACCGAAUAGAAAGCCACG
RNAcentral lists this ribosomal RNA (498 nucleotides) under Veillonella parvula. Its description in RNAcentral is "bacterial SSU rRNA". It matches the Rfam family "Bacterial small subunit ribosomal RNA", at positions 28 to 495 of the family's 1533-position model. The record is from RNAcentral. Lineage: Bacteria; Bacillati; Bacillota; Negativicutes; Veillonellales; Veillonellaceae.